UGGGGAAUAUUUGACAAUGGGCGAAAGCCUGAACCAGCCAUGCCGCGUGUGUGAAGAAGGUCUUCGGAUUGUAAAGCACUUUAAGUAGGGAGGAAGGGCAGUAAGCGAAUACCUUGCUGUUUUGACGUUACCGACAGAAUAAGCACCGGCUAACUCUGUGCCAGCAGCCGCGGUAAUACAGAGGGUGCAAGCGUUAAUCGGAAUUACUGGGCGUAAAGCGCGCGUAGGUGGUUCGUUAAGUUGGAUGUGAAAGCCCCGGGCUCAACCUGGGAACUGCAUCCAAAACUGGCGAGCUAGAGUAGGGCAGAGGGUGGUGGAAUUUCCUGUGUAGCGGUGAAAUGCGUAGAUAUAGGAAGGAACACCAGUGGCGAAGGCGACCACCUGGGCUCAUACUAACACUGAGGUGCGAAAGCGUGGGGAGCAAACAGG
This 429-nucleotide ribosomal RNA is filed under the name Bacillota bacterium. RNAcentral's name for it is "Firmicutes bacterium partial 16S ribosomal RNA". It matches the Rfam family "Bacterial small subunit ribosomal RNA", at positions 355 to 776 of the family's 1533-position model. Lineage: Bacteria; Bacillati; Bacillota. The record is from RNAcentral.